This 429-nucleotide ribosomal RNA is filed under the name Bacteroidota bacterium. RNAcentral describes it as "Bacteroidetes bacterium partial 16S ribosomal RNA". It matches the Rfam family "Bacterial small subunit ribosomal RNA", at positions 355 to 776 of the family's 1533-position model. The record is from RNAcentral. Lineage: Bacteria; Pseudomonadati; Bacteroidota.
UAGGGAAUCUUCGGCAAUGGGGGGAACCCUGACCGAGCAACGCCGCGUGAGUGAAGAAGGUUUUCGGAUCGUAAAGCUCUGUUGUUAAGGAAGAACGAGUGUGAGAAUGGAAAGUUCAUACUGUGACGGUACUUAACCAGAAAGGGACGGCUAACUACGUGCCAGCAGCCGCGGUAAUACGUAGGUCCCGAGCGUUGUCCGGAUUUAUUGGGCGUAAAGCGAGCGCAGGCGGUUAGAUAAGUCUGAAGUUAAAGGCAGUGGCUCAACCAUUGUAGGCUUUGGAAACUGUUUAACUUGAGUGCAGAAGGGGAGAGUGGAAUUCCAUGUGUAACGGUGAAAUGCGUAGAUAUAUGGAGGAACACCGGUAGCGAAAGCGGCUCUCUGGUCUGUAACUGACGCUGAGGCUCGAAAGCGUGGGGAGCGAACAGG